Molecule: transfer RNA, 67 nt
Filed under: Cubiceps paradoxus (longfin cigarfish)
Lineage: Eukaryota; Metazoa; Chordata; Actinopteri; Scombriformes; Nomeidae
Also listed under: 1 other name
Description: tRNA-Tyr
Rfam family: tRNA
About the family: Transfer RNA (tRNA) molecules are approximately 80 nucleotides in length.
Source: RNAcentral
GGUAAGGUGGCUGAGUAAGCGGUGGAUUGUAGCCCCAUAUACAGAGGUUUAAGCCCUCUUCUUACCA